GACGAACGCUGGCGGCGUGCCUAAUACAUGCAAGUCGAGCGAAGUUUUUCUGGUGCUUGCACUAGAAAAACUUAGCGGCGAACGGGUGAGUAACACGUAAAGAACCUGCCUCAUAGACUGGGACAACUAUUGGAAACGAUAGCUAAUACCGGAUAACAGUAUUUCUCGCAUGAGAGAUAUUUAAAAGUUGGUUAUGCUAACACUAUGAGAUGGUUUUGCGGUGCAUUAGCUAGUUGGUGGGGUAAAGGCCCACCAAGGCGACGAUGCAUAGCCGACCUGAGAGGGUGAUCGGCCACACUGGGACUGAGACACGGCCCAGACUCCUACGGGAGGCAGCAGUAGGGAAUCUUCCGCAAUGGGCGAAAGCCUGACGGAGCAACGCCGCGUGAGUGAAGAAGGAUUUCGGUUCGUAAAGCUCUGUUGUUAGGGAAGAAUGGAUAUGUAGUAACUAUACAUGUAAGAGACGGUACCUAACCAGAAAGCCACGGCUAACUACGUG
RNAcentral lists this ribosomal RNA (499 nucleotides) under uncultured bacterium. RNAcentral describes it as "partial 16S ribosomal RNA". It matches the Rfam family "Bacterial small subunit ribosomal RNA", at positions 28 to 507 of the family's 1533-position model. The record is from RNAcentral.